This 241-nucleotide ribosomal RNA is filed under the name uncultured bacterium. Its description in RNAcentral is "partial 16S ribosomal RNA". It matches the Rfam family "Bacterial small subunit ribosomal RNA", at positions 118 to 347 of the family's 1533-position model. The record is from RNAcentral.
UGGGUAACCUGCCUCAAAGAGGGGAAUAGCCUCCCGAAAGGGAGAUUAAUACCGCAUAAUAUGUUUAAGUCGCAUGACUUUAACAUCAAAGGAUUUUCUUUUAGAAAUUCCACUUUGAGAUGGACCCGCGGUGCAUUAGCUAGUUGGUGAGGUAACGGCUCACCAAGGCAACGAUGCGUAGCCGACCUGAGAGGGUGAUCGGCCACAUUGGAACUGAGACGCGGUCCAGCUCCGUAGGGAG